GGAGGGUGCAAGCGUUAAUCGGAAUUACUGGGCGUAAAGCGUGCGUAGGUGGUUUGUUAAGUUAUAUGUGAAAUCCCUGGGCUCAACCUGGGCAGGUCAUAUAAUACUGAUGGACUCGAGUAUGGGAGAGGGUAGUGGAAUUUCCGGUGUAGCGGUGAAAUGCGUAGAGAUCGGAGGGAACACCAGUGGCGAAGGCGGCUACCUGGCCUAAUACUGACACUGAGGCACGAAAGCGUGGGGAGCAAACAGGAUUAGAUACCCUGGUAGUCCACGCCGUAAACGAUGUCAACUAGCUGUUGGUUAUAUGAAUAUAAUUAGUGGCGAAGCUAACGCGAUAAGUUGACCGCCUGGGGAGUACGGUCGCAAGAUUA
RNAcentral lists this ribosomal RNA (371 nucleotides) under uncultured bacterium. RNAcentral describes it as "bacterial SSU rRNA". It matches the Rfam family "Bacterial small subunit ribosomal RNA", at positions 527 to 896 of the family's 1533-position model. The record is from RNAcentral.